RNAcentral lists this long non-coding RNA (305 nucleotides) under Helianthus annuus (common sunflower). Its description in RNAcentral is "hypothetical non coding rna". Lineage: Eukaryota; Viridiplantae; Streptophyta; Magnoliopsida; Asterales; Asteraceae. The record is from RNAcentral.
GCCAUUUCUGCAGCCUUGCUCACGCUUGAACUGUGAAAACUCUUGAUCUCAUCAUGAGUGCUAUCAGGUACAUUCUUUCCCUUUUCUGCUUCUACUUUGUUGUCUAAAAUCAGCAUUUGCUGAACCUCUUUAAGUUUUACAUCGUAUGCAGCUUUAUCUUCCGUUGACAGCUUGGCUUUUCUUCGAUUAAAUAGCAGUGCAUAAUGGUUUGAUAAUGCUUCAAGUUCCUAGAACUGCUCUGGACCUCCAUAGAUGUAAAAGCAUCUGUCAAAAGUGACCUCCUCCAUCAACUGAUCCACUUCAGU